GUUUGACCUCAAAUCAGGUAGGAUUACCCGCUGAACUUAAGCAUAUCAAUAAGCGGAGGAAAAGAAACCAACAGGGAUUGCCUUAGUAACGGC
RNAcentral lists this ribosomal RNA (93 nucleotides) under Debaryomyces hansenii. RNAcentral describes it as "partial 28S ribosomal RNA". It matches the Rfam family "Eukaryotic large subunit ribosomal RNA", at positions 1 to 90 of the family's 3401-position model. Lineage: Eukaryota; Fungi; Ascomycota; Pichiomycetes; Serinales; Debaryomycetaceae. The record is from RNAcentral.